UUAAUACACUGCUCUGAUAGGAUAGUCUGAUAGGUUAGUUUAAUACACUGCUCUGAUAGGUUAGUUUAAUACUCUGCUCUGAUAGGUUAGUUUAAUACACUGCUCUGAUAGGUUAGUUUAAUACACUGCUCUGAUAGGUUAGUCUGAUAGGUUAGUUUAAUACACUGCUCUGAUAGGAUAGUCUGUUAGGUUAAUUUAAUACUCUGCUCUGAUAGGGUAGUUUAAUACACUGCUCUGAUAGGGUAGUUUUAUACACUGCUCUGAUAGGGUAGUUUUAUACACUGCUCUGAUAGGUUAGUUUUAUACACUGCUCUGAUAGGAUAGUCUGAUAGGUUAGUUUAAUACACUGCUCUGAUAGGAUAGUCUGACAGGUUAGUUUAAUACACUGCUCUGAUAGGUUAGUUUAAUACACUGCUCUGAUAGGAUAGUCUGAUAGGGUAGUUUAAUACUCUGCUCUGAUAGUCUGAUAGGUUAGUUUUAUACACUGCUCUGAUAGGGUAGUUUAAUACACUGCUCUGAUAGGGUAGUUUAAUACACUGCUCUGAUAGGUUAGUUUAAUACACUGCUCUGAUAGGGUAGUUUAAUACACUGCUCUGAUAGGGUAGUUUUAUACACUGCUCUGAUAGGAUAGUCUGAUAGGUUAGUUUAAUACACUGCUCUGAUAGGUUAGUUUAAUACACUGCUCUGAUAGGUUAGUUUAAUACACUGCUCUGAUAGGAUAGUCUGAUAGGGUAGUUUAAUACACUGCUCUGAUAGGAUAGUCUGAUAGGUUAGUUUUAUACACUGCUCUGAUAGGGUAGUUUAAUACACUGCUCUGAUAGGUUAGUUUAAUACACUGCUCUGAUAGGUUAGUUUAAUGCUCUGAUAGGUUAGUUUUAUACACUGCUCUGAUAGGAUAGUUUAAUACACUGCUCUGAUAGGGUAGUUUAAUGCUCUGAUAG
This is a long non-coding RNA of Oncorhynchus tshawytscha (Chinook salmon), 941 nucleotides long. Lineage: Eukaryota; Metazoa; Chordata; Actinopteri; Salmoniformes; Salmonidae. The record is from Ensembl.